AGUGAACGCUGGCGGUAGGCCUAACACAUGCAAGUCGAACGGCAGCACAGUAAGAGCUUGCUCUUACGGGUGGCGAGUGGCGGACGGGUGAGGAAUACAUCGGAAUCUACUUUUUCGUGGGGGAUAACGUAGGGAAACUUACGCUAAUACCGCAUACGACCUACGGGUGAAAGCAGGGGAACUUCGGACCUUGCGCGAUUGAAUGAGCCGAUGUCGGAUUAGCUAGUUGGCGGGGUAAAGGCCCACCAAGGCGACGAUCCGUAGCUGGUCUGAGAGGAUGAUCAGCCACACUGGAACUGAGACACGGUCCAGACUCCUACGGGAGGCAGCAGUGGGGAAUAUUGGACAAUGGGCGCAAGCCUGAUCCAGCCAUACCGCGUGGGUGAAGCAGGCCUUCGGGUUGUAAAGCCCUUUUGUUGGGAAAGAAAAGCAGCAGGUGAAUACCCCGCUGUUCUGACGGUACCCAAAGAAUAAGCACCGGCUAACUUCGUG
This 492-nucleotide ribosomal RNA is filed under the name uncultured bacterium. RNAcentral's name for it is "partial 16S ribosomal RNA". It matches the Rfam family "Bacterial small subunit ribosomal RNA", at positions 29 to 507 of the family's 1533-position model. The record is from RNAcentral.